CACCGCGGUUAGACGGGUGGCUCAAGUUGAUAGACAACGGCGUAAAGAGUGGUUAAGGAGAUCUUAAAAACUAAAGCCGAACGCCCUCAAAGCUGUUAUACGUUUAAUCGAAGACAUGAAGCCCAACCACGAAAGUGGCUUUAACCAACCCUGACCCCACGAAAGCUGUGAAA
Molecule: ribosomal RNA, 173 nt
Filed under: Chromis lepidolepis (scaly chromis)
Lineage: Eukaryota; Metazoa; Chordata; Actinopteri; Pomacentridae
Description: partial 12S ribosomal RNA
Source: RNAcentral